RNAcentral lists this ribosomal RNA (574 nucleotides) under Pseudomonas sp. RNAcentral's name for it is "bacterial SSU rRNA". It matches the Rfam family "Bacterial small subunit ribosomal RNA", at positions 79 to 649 of the family's 1533-position model. The record is from RNAcentral. Lineage: Bacteria; Pseudomonadati; Pseudomonadota; Gammaproteobacteria; Pseudomonadales; Pseudomonadaceae.
CUUGCUUCUCUUGAGAGCGGCGGACGGGUGAGUAAUGCCUAGGAAUCUGCCUGGUAGUGGGGGAUAACGCUCGGAAACGGACGCUAAUACCGCAUACGUCCUACGGGAGAAAGCAGGGGACCUUCGGGCCUUGCGCUAUCAGAUGAGCCUAGGUCGGAUUAGCUAGUUGGUGAGGUAAUGGCUCACCAAGGCGACGAUCCGUAACUGGUCUGAGAGGAUGAUCAGUCACACUGGAACUGAGACACGGUCCAGACUCCUACGGGAGGCAGCAGUGGGGAAUAUUGGACAAUGGGCGAAAGCCUGAUCCAGCCAUGCCGCGUGUGUGAAGAAGGUCUUCGGAUUGUAAAGCACUUUAAGUUGGGAGGAAGGGCAGUAAAUUAAUACUUUGCUGUUUUGACGUUACCGACAGAAUAAGCACCGGCUAACUCUGUGCCAGCAGCCGCGGUAAUACAGAGGGUGCAAGCGUUAAUCGGAAUUACUGGGCGUAAAGCGCGCGUAGGUGGUUCGUUAAGUUGGAUGUGAAAUCCCCGGGCUCAACCUGGGAACUGCAUUCAAAACUGUCGAGCUAGAGUAU